GCCCUCGGUGGCUCAGAUGGAUAGAGCAUCUGCCAGGUAAGCAGGAGAUCCUGGGUUCGAAUCCCGGUCGGGGCA
RNAcentral lists this transfer RNA (75 nucleotides) under Schistocerca americana (American grasshopper). RNAcentral describes it as "tRNA-Thr". It matches the Rfam family "tRNA". From Rfam's summary of the family: Transfer RNA (tRNA) molecules are approximately 80 nucleotides in length. Their secondary structure includes four short double-helical elements and three loops (D, anti-codon, and T loops). Further hydrogen bonds mediate the characteristic L-shaped molecular structure. tRNAs have two regions of fundamental functional importance: the anti-codon, which is responsible for specific mRNA codon recognition, and the 3' end, to which the tRNAs corresponding amino acid is attached (by aminoacyl-tRNA synthetases). tRNAs cope with the degeneracy of the genetic code in two manners: having more than one tRNA (with a specific anti-codon) for a particular amino acid; and 'wobble' base-pairing, i.e. permitting non-standard base-pairing at the 3rd anti-codon position. Lineage: Eukaryota; Metazoa; Arthropoda; Insecta; Orthoptera; Acrididae. The record is from RNAcentral.